Molecule: ribosomal RNA, 302 nt
Filed under: uncultured bacterium
Lineage: Bacteria
Description: partial 16S ribosomal RNA
Rfam family: Bacterial small subunit ribosomal RNA
Source: RNAcentral
GCAGUAGCCGCGGUAAUACGGAGGGUGCGAGCGUUAAUCGGAAUUACUGGGCGUAAAGCGUACGCAGGCGGUUCGUUAAGACAGAUGUGAAAUCCCCGGGCUUAACCUGGGAACUGCAUUUGUGACUGGCGAGCUAGAGUAUGGCAGAGGGGGGUAGAAUUCCACGUGUAGCAGUGAAAUGCGUAGAGAUGUGGAGGAAUACCGAUGGCGAAGGCAGCCCCCUGGGCCAAUACUGACGCUCAUGCACGAAAGCGUGGGGAGCGAACAGGAUUAGAUACCCGCGUAGUCCCUGUCUCUUAUAC